UGGGGAAUAUUGCGCAAUGGGCGAAAGCCUGACGCAGCGACGCCGCGUGGAGGAUGAAGGUCUUCGGAUUGUAAACUCCUGUCAGAUGGGAAGAAAAGUUUAUGUCUAAUAAAUGUAAAAUAUGACGGUACCAUCAGAGGAAGCACCGGCUAACUUCGUGCCAGCAGCCGCGGUAAUACGAAGGGUGCAAACGUUAUUCGGAAUCACUGGGCGUAAAGGGUGCGUAGAUGGCGUAUUAAGUUUGUUGUUAAAGGCUUCAGCCUAACUGAAGUAUUGCGAUGAAAACUGGUAUGCUAGAGGGUGAGAGAGAGAAGUGGAAUUCCUGGAGUAGCGGUAAAAUGCGUGGAUCUCAGGAGGAACACCAAUGGCGAAGGCAGCUUCUUGGCUCAUUCCUGACAUUGAGGCACGAAAGCGUGGGGAGCAAACAGG
This 429-nucleotide ribosomal RNA is filed under the name uncultured bacterium. RNAcentral describes it as "bacterial SSU rRNA". It matches the Rfam family "Bacterial small subunit ribosomal RNA", at positions 355 to 776 of the family's 1533-position model. The record is from RNAcentral.